RNAcentral lists this ribosomal RNA (433 nucleotides) under uncultured bacterium. Its description in RNAcentral is "partial 16S ribosomal RNA". It matches the Rfam family "Bacterial small subunit ribosomal RNA", at positions 29 to 507 of the family's 1533-position model. The record is from RNAcentral.
AACGAACGCUGGCGGCAUGCCUAACACAUGCAAGUCGAACGAGACCUUCGGGUCUAGUGGCGCACGGGUGCGUAACGCGUGGGAACCUGCCCUUAGGUUCGGAAUAACUCCCCGAAAGGGGUGCUAAUACCGGAUAAUGUCUUCGGACCAAAGAUUUAUCGCCUUUGGAUGGGCCCGCGUUGGAUUAGCUAGUUGGUAGGGUAAAAGCCUACCAAGGCGACGAUCCAUAGCUGGUCUGAGAGGAUGAUCAGCCACACUGGGACUGAGACACGGCCCAGACUCCUACGGGAGGGAGCAGUGGGGAAUAUAGGAAAAUGGGCGAAAGCCUGAUACAGCAAUGCCGCGUGAGUGAUGAAGGCCUUAGGGUUGUAAAGCUCUUUUACACGGGAUGAUAAUGACAGUACCGGGAGAAUAAGCACCGGCUAACUACGUG